Molecule: unclassified non-coding RNA, 2164 nt
Filed under: Hevea brasiliensis (rubber tree)
Lineage: Eukaryota; Viridiplantae; Streptophyta; Magnoliopsida; Malpighiales; Euphorbiaceae
Source: RNAcentral
UCUCUCUCUCUCUCUCUCUCACGCUUUCAUUCAAAGGCCUUGCGAUUUUUGGACAACGAUAAGCAGGUUUUCCAUUAGGGUUUUGGAAAGGCUGUGAAGAUGAGUGACAAUUUGAUGGAUAAAGUAAGCGCAUUUGGUGAGCGCCUCAAGAUUGGAGGUGCUGAGGUGGGCCGAAAGAUGAGUGCUGGGAUGAGCUCAAUGAGCUUCAAAAUGAAGGAGCUGUUCCAGGGUCCAAACCAGGCUGAUAAACUUGUUGAGGAAGCCACAGCAGAGACCCUUGAAGAGCCUGAUUGGGCCUUGAAUCUUGAACUCUGUGACAUGAUUAAUCAUGAAAAGGUUAGCAGUGUUGAAUUAAUCCGUGGUAUAAAGAAGCGGAUCAUGAUGAAGAAUGCUAGGGUUCAGUACUUGGCCUUGGUGUUACUAGAAACAUGUGUUAAGAAUUGCGAGAAAGCUUUCUCGGAGGUUGCAGCUGAGAGGGUCCUUGAUGAAAUGGUGAAGCUGAUUGAUGAUCCUCAGACAGUUGUUAAUAAUCGUAAUAAGGCUUUGAUGCUGAUUGAAGCAUGGGGGGAAUCAACUGGUGAGCUGCGCUAUUUACCUGUUUAUGAAGAGACAUACAAGGUAUUCAUUCUGUUUGCUUUUUAAUAUUUUCACUCUCUUGUUUGGCUCCCCGAAAAUCGGAGGAAAAGAAAGGAAAAUUUUGUUUCAGUUUUUUGUUGCCUUUAGGCUUGUUUAAAAUGAAAAAUAGUGUUGAUUAUACUUGAAAUAGUUGUCUAAAUUUCAACUUAGUGGAGACCACCGGCCUUAGCAUUCUCUCUCCUACUUUGUUUCAUAAAAACAAUGAGAUGGUAUUCAAUAUUUGUUAUUUCAGCCCUUCUUCUAGGUGAGAGUCUUGGCAUUUUGUCCAAUACACUGAAUAUUAAUGCUAGGAUAUUGAACAAAAGGGAGUCAUGCUGUAAAAAAUUCAUUCAAGUUUGUUCAACAAGUUUUAUAAAUUUACCUCAAAAAAGUUGAAUGUAAGUACUAUGGCUAUUUUUGGUUGUGGAAUUUUUGACUUUGACUCUGUUGACAUUACAUUAGGUGCAAUGAUAUUACUCAUUUCUGAAUGAAUUGCAGAGGAGCUGUGUGUGUGUGUAGUGCGGUAUUGCUUUAGAACUAGAUGUUAAAUUUGGAUACUCUUGGCUAACACGGAGUUAUGACUUCUUGAACUCUCCUCUUUUUCUCCCUUCUCUGGGUUUGUGCCUUUUCUAUUAAAGAGUCUAAGAUCGAGGGGAAUCCGAUUCCCUGGUCGUGACAAUGAGAGUUUGGCACCCAUCUUUACCCCUCCUCGUUCAGUUUCAGCACCUGAAGUGGAUGCUAGUCUUGCACAGCAGAUUCAGCAUGAUAUUCCUGUGGUAACCUUUACGGCUGAACAAACAAAGGAAGCAUUUGAUGUGGCAAGAAAUAGCAUUGAACUUCUCACAACAGUGUUGUCCUCCUCCCCUGAACAUGAUGUUUUGAAGGACGAUUUGACAACUACACUCAUUCAGCAGUGUCGUCGAUCUCAAUCGACCGUGCAGAGAAUCAUUGAGACAGCAGGAGAUAAUGAAGCUCUGCUUUUUGAAGCCUUGAAUGUGAAUGAUGAGAUUCAGAAAGUUCUCUCCAAGUAUGAAGAGUUGAAGAAGCCAUCAGUUGUUUCUUCUGAGCCUGAGCCUGCUAUGAUUCCUGUUGCUGUUGAGCCUGAUGAUUCACCCGUCCAUGCAAGAGAAGAUGCCUUAAUUAGGAAGCCAGCAGGUUCACGGGGUACUCAUGGGGGAAGCAAUGAUGACAUGAUGGAUGAUCUUGAUGAAAUGAUCUUUGGUAAGAAAAGUGGAGGCACAUCUGAAGGUGCACAGGACCCAAAGAAACAGCAAUCUUCAAAGGAUGAUCUCAUCAGCUUCUGAGCUGAUGAGUUCAGAAAAUUCCAUAUUUUUAGGAAAGAGGCCAUUGACAUCUGGCCAUUUAGGUGUUCCAUAUGAAUUAAGUUUGAUUUUAAAAUGGUUGAAACCGUCAUAAACAGGGCUGGUGGAUUUUUCUUUUGCAUAACAUUUACAUUUUUCUGUCAAUUUCUGUAAGUAGUUUAUAUCUUGGAUUGAUACAAUUGCUUGACAUGGUAUACAUCUAUUUUAUCGAACAUUCAGUUAUUUGG